AAUUAUCAAUCCAUGCCACUGACUCAAGAUAACGCUCCUUGGGGGUAGAAAUAGUAUACAUAGGAAGAAUUAUAUCCAGAUAAGAAGUGGGAGGGCUGCACAAAUCUGCACAAAACUUUAAUUUAGUUGUAUGCGCAUACAUCAAAUAUCAUCUUUAUGGUAGCAUGAUUGCCCUUUUAAGUGUCCCUAUAUUUUUUUUGCAGAGUUCAUGCUAUUCCUUUCUUGAAGAAAGGAAUGUGUAUGGGAACUGUUGAUCAUAGCCUGAACCUCUGAUUAACCACCUGAGGCAAGCAAUGAGUCAGCCACAGGAGUACAGGUGAAGGCAAUUCACCAGUGCUACCGGAAGGGGUGUAGCCUGGCUGCACCUCUCCUAGAUCCCAUUUAAGUGCUGACUGCCACUGGGGAAGGAUCUCUUUCUGGAGAUUGCUCCUUGUGGAGUUUACUGUGAGCCUAUGAUACUGGAGACUGAGUACUUUGAGGAUAACUGGUCUAUUAAAUAUAGAAGUAAAGAAGGCAUUGAGAACCUCAACCUUUUCCUCAUACUCAGUGAUAAUGUUCCCUGACACAUCUAAUUAAGGAAUUUCUAUCCUUCCUGGACUUCUCCAGCACUGACUUCCAAUGGAUUCUCCCAGACGGUAUCCUAAACUGUUUAAAAUCUGCCCUCCAAGGGCAGGCAGAAGUUUUGCUAACCCCCCCUAUGGUGCAAACAAAGACAACGACAGUCUUUUUCCUGGAAUACAUGUAUUAUAGAACAGGAUGAUAAAAGAAUUGAUUCACCCCUUCUGACAACAGCUCAAAAGAAGGGCAAACUCAGAUGCAGCUGAGCUUCUAACCCUUAAUUGAGAGAGAGAGAGAGAGGAGGGAAUGAAUCCUGACUCUACCCCUUCUGCAGGUGCAUUACUUGCACCUGAGCUCCCUGAGUUAGCCAAAUCUGGUGCUCAACCAUUGGUUAAGGCUGUGACCUGGCAAUUCUAGGGCAUUCUCCCCUUUUGAUUUCAGGAAGGUUGAAAACUUUACCAUUUUAUGGUUGCUGUGCUCAAGUUAGCUUCCAGGGAUGGUGUUUCUAACCAGUUCUCUGUAUGUGAAAAGCAGGUCUAACCAUGUCCUUUCCCAGCUAGGUUCUCUUUUGAGCUGUUUGAGGAUCUCAUUUUUUUUCUUUGUUCUUAGGGAAAAAUAAUUACAUUGAAUACAAAGAAUCAGAGUCAGAAUUUGGUGUGAAAAGCAAUAGAAUUAUGAUAUGGGAGUUGAUAAUUCAAUUAAAUAUCAAGCUUUUGUAUGGUCUAUCUCUUUGCAUGUUCCCUAAUCUGUGUUCCUGACACUUUAAGAGAACAAACAGAAUACAGAACAAACCUGCUUAAUGUCUCAACUUUUAAACAUAAGUAUCAUUUUAGAUAGCUAUUGCCUUCUUCCACUGCUGUUUAAAAUGUUUGCUUAUGCUACAUAUAAGGCUGAAGAUCUCUGGGGAAACAAAUGUCUUAUUUUGGGAUUAUAACUUAUUAUUUGUAGAGACUAUAAGGCUAAAAAGCAUCUCAAACUUAGGUGUAGUGGGUGGUGGGAUGAACAGCUUGAUACCCUGUUUUCACAACUACAUUAAUCUUAACUGGUUUGGUUCAUUGCAAUCUCCCAUCUGUGCUUAUAUUGACUUUUGAGAUAAUCAAAUACAUUACUUUACAAAUUCCAAAAACCUUUGGGACAGAGUAAUGAAUGGAUCAUUGACUAAACUGCAGUCAAUAGGCUAUUAUAAUUUCCCUUAAUAAGCAAUAUUGAAGAGUUCUACUUCAUGUGAAGGAUUACUGUGACUAAACAAUAAUUGUACCAAUUUAAAAAAAAAAGGGAAAGAGUCUCAUAAUAAGGAAAUGACAUGAAAAAUUAUACAUGUGAUAAGAGUAAAAAAGUAGUUUACACAGUCAGCUUAAGUUAAAACAUAGUGUUACAUUUGGAUGACAAAGUAAACCAAAUUUGUUGCCACAUAUUGGGGAUGUGUGAACUCAUCUUGACUGAUUUUGGAUUCUGUCAAAUAUUGUGCACUUAGAAGCUUAUUUGUGAGUCCAGUAUUGCUGUAUUAACAUUUCAGUUAAUGUAUCCUAUGACAGAGAGUAGAAGGUGAGGACAGUAUAUCUAACAAGGACAGUAGUCCUGAGGAAUAUCUUCUCUGUAAAAUUUCAUUCCAAAUAACCCCCACUGACCCAUCAUUUAUAGCAUCAUCAGACUUUUCAGUAUGUUUCAAAAAGCUCUGAGACUCUUGGCAGAGGAAAAAUAAAACUGUUAUGGUCCACCACAACAAUACAAAAAAAUUCUGUUAGUAUAGCUAUUGGAGGCAUAGAAAAUUAAGUUCCAUUUUGGGAAGAUUCUCAUUUUGUAAGAAUGCUGAGUAGUCACAGAAAAAUGAUACAUGAAAUGGAGGAAGUUAUUAAGGGCUUUCCACAUACAGAGAAACUUCUUAAAAGAAGGUAGUUAUUGAUUUUGUGAUUACUGGGGAACAUUCAAACUAAAUGACUUCUGUGAGUGUGGUCAGAUAGAUGGGUGUCUGUAUGCCAUUAGUUAUACUUGUCAUUAAUUGAGUUUGUAAUUAAUGGAAGGCUGCUUUUUUGGAACCUGAUCUGUAAAGGAUUGCAUGGGAACAUAAACAAUGUGAAAGUUAACAGUUUUCAUCUGAUAAGGCAAAAGCAAAAUAUUUAUAAAUUAUGUAGUUAUGGGUAUGUGGGAAUAUUUAGGUGUUCUGUUUUGUUUUUUAAAUGGUAAAUUUUAUAUGUAGCUGAUGCAACAUAGUGAGAGUUGCAGAAGCAGGUGUACCUUCAAAUAGCUUAUGAAUGCAAUCAAUAAUGCAAGCUGAUGAGGAGGAGCUGAAGAGCUCUAGAAGCAAAGGAGAGAACAGCAGGCGAACAGGGCAGCACACCCCGCUGCACAACGUGUCCUCUCCCUGGCCAUGUCUGGGAGUACCUUGGACAGCGAUCCCAGCACUGGAAGGGUGGAAGUUGUGUUGCACUGUGACAUAUGCAAUGAAUUAAAAGCAUUGAGCUGGAAGCAGUGGGUCUUCCAUUAGUGGAUAUAUUGCUUCCGACUCAUGAUGGAUGUCUUCAAGGUAUAAAUCAAAAUGGUACAGAAAAAAAGCUGAGGAAGGGUAAUUUACAAGAUUGUAUUAAGAAACAGAUUCAAGGGAUAUGUUAAAUUAAGCCAGUAUCAGCAAACAAAUGUAUCAAGGCUCAGUCAGCUAUUUGGCAUCUCUUUUCUCUCACCAUGAGGUAAAUGACUAGAUAGUGAUAAAAGACUUUAAUGAAGUGUUCUCUAAGAUAACUUUGCUAGUGUAGAAAGAAAGGAGAAAGGGCCAAAUCCCUCUGUUUAUGUUUAGUCUAAUGUUAAACAGAUGUUCAUAAUGUAGAAUUUAACUGAACUUCUAGAAUAUUAGAUAUCAAAUGAUGAUAGUUAACUUUUGUGUGAUCUGUGCAUUUUAAUUCAAUUAAUUAUAAAGCAAACUCUUUAGGAAGCAGCUGCAGAAAUUGUUUUAGUAUAACUAUCAAAUCUCCUUAUGAGGAAACCCUUAACUUUCAGGGUUUUAACAUGAAUACAAUUGAUAAUGGCAUUGAAUCAUAUGUGGAAAAACCUUCUGAAGUAGGUUUUAUCUGGGAAAAGGAUUCACCAUAAGAAGUAGUUACAGCUAGGCAAAUUCACACUGGAAUUAACUGACAACAUUUUAACAGUGAAAAUAACUAAGUACUGAGUGCAAGGAGUAAAAGGUGGAUGGGAAGUGAUGUCUUUCCUUACUGUCUCUAGUUCAACUUCUAAGAUGUAUACUUAGGUCGACUAAAAUUUCACAGUAUAUGCAUUCUCAGUGAAACAUAUGUAGAUUACUUUGAAAAUAAUGCUGUUCAUUUCCAUGGAAACUACAACAAAUACAAAUAGCAUAAUAACCCUAGUUGAUAAAUUCUCAGCUAUGAAACUUUUCAACACACUCACUACCAUUAGUCCAUUUAUGUGGUUGAGCUGAUCAAGAUGCUCUUCCUUUCAUGGCAUGAUAACUGUGCAUAGCCAAACCAAAAGUGGCUUGUCUUUCAUGUUGCUGUUGCCACUGCUGAAAUGUGCCACCCAUCACUUCACUGUGCUGACAUCCACU
Molecule: non-coding RNA, 4111 nt
Organism: Meleagris gallopavo (turkey)
Lineage: Eukaryota; Metazoa; Chordata; Aves; Galliformes; Phasianidae
Source: RefSeq, a predicted model, not a curated record